UUGAACGCACAUUGCGCCCUUUGGUAUUCCAAAGGGCAUGCCUGUUCGAGCGUCAUUU
RNAcentral lists this ribosomal RNA (58 nucleotides) under Alternaria porri. Its description in RNAcentral is "5.8S ribosomal RNA". It matches the Rfam family "5.8S ribosomal RNA", at positions 100 to 154 of the family's 154-position model. Rfam says of the family: 5.8S ribosomal RNA (5.8S rRNA) is a component of the large subunit of the eukaryotic ribosome. It is transcribed by RNA polymerase I as part of the 45S precursor that also contains 18S and 28S rRNA. Lineage: Eukaryota; Fungi; Ascomycota; Dothideomycetes; Pleosporales; Pleosporaceae. The record is from RNAcentral.